Eucalyptus grandis is the source of this 322-nucleotide long non-coding RNA. RefSeq lists it as uncharacterized. The transcript is spliced from 3 exons. NCBI's taxonomy places the organism in Eukaryota, Viridiplantae, Streptophyta, Magnoliopsida, Myrtales, Myrtaceae. The record is from RefSeq and is a predicted model, not a curated record.
UUCAGUCUGUGAUGAGACGUGCAGAGAAACUGUUAUGGAUCCUGCCAAUGAGCUCUUGGUUUGCAAAAUAUGUGGACCCUGUUUAGAUAGGUUGCUGUCAGCUGCUGAAAUGGAGACUGAUGCCGAGCAGCAGCAAGGUGGUGUGACAGAUGAAGCUGAACCAUUCAUGGGACCUGGUCGAUUUGCGGAUUCCACUAGGGAAAUGGCAAUGUCCUAAGUGCCGCUCAAAAAGUGAUUCAGUUGAGCCAAUAAGCCAUCUCGAUUCCAGUUUGAAGCGAGCUCCGACGAAAAUUUGUGGGUCAAAAUCCAAGACAUUGUCUAG